CGUGCUAGGAUGAACGCUGGCGGCGUGCUUAACACAUGCAAGUCGAACGAAGCAAGUUAUGAACAACUGGAGAGCUUGCUCGAAGGAAGGGAUUAAUGACUGAGUGGCGGACGGGUGAGUAACGCGUGGGUAACCUGCCUCAUACAGGGGGAUAACAGUUAGAAAUGACUGCUAAUACCGCAUAAGCGCACAGUACCGCAUGGUACGGUGUGAAAAACUCCGGUGGUAUGAGAUGGACCCGCGUCUGAUUAGCUAGUUGGCGAGGUAAUGGCUCACCAAGGCAACGAUCAGUAGCCGGCUUGAGAGAGUGAACGGCCACAUUGGGACUGAGACACGGCCCAAACUCCUACGGGAGGCAGCAGUGGGGAAUAUUGCACAAUGGGGGAAACCCUGAUGCAAGCGACGCCGCGUGAGUGAAGAAGUAUUUCGGUAUGUAAAGCUCUAUCAGCAGGGAAGAUAAUGACGGUACCUGACUAAGAAGCCCCGGCUAACUACGUGCCAGCCGCCGC
This 509-nucleotide ribosomal RNA is filed under the name uncultured bacterium. RNAcentral describes it as "bacterial SSU rRNA". It matches the Rfam family "Bacterial small subunit ribosomal RNA", at positions 26 to 518 of the family's 1533-position model. The record is from RNAcentral.